RNAcentral lists this ribosomal RNA (467 nucleotides) under uncultured bacterium. Its description in RNAcentral is "partial 16S ribosomal RNA". It matches the Rfam family "Bacterial small subunit ribosomal RNA", at positions 29 to 507 of the family's 1533-position model. The record is from RNAcentral.
ACGAACGCUGGCGGCGUGCUUAACACCUGCCAGUCGAACGGAAAGGCCCUGCUUUUGUGGGGUGCUCGAGUGGCGAACGGGUGAGUAACACGUGAGUAACCUGCCCUUGACUUUGGGAUAACUUCAGGAAACUGGGGCUAAUACCGGAUAGGAGCUCCUGCUGCAUGGUGGGGGUUGGAAAGUUUCGGCGGUUGGGGAUGGACUCGCGGCUUAUCAGCUUGUUGGUGGGGUAGUGGCUUACCAAGGCUUUGACGGGUAGCCGGCCUGAGAGGGUGACCGGCCACAUUGGGACUGAGAGACGGCCCAGACUCCUACGGGAGGCAGCAGUGGGGAAUAUUGCACAAUGGGCGGAAGCCUGAUGCAGCAACGCCGCGUGCGGGAUGAAGGCCUUCGGGUUGUAAACCGCUUUCGCCUGUGACGAAGCGUGAGUGACGGUAAUGGGUAAAGAAGCACCGGCUAACUACGUG